CCUACGGGAGGCAGCAGUGGGGAAUGUUGGACAAUGGGGGCAACCCUGAUCCAGCAAUGCCGCGUGUGUGAAGAAGGCCUUCGGGUUGUAAAGCACUUUCACCCGUGAAGAUGAUGACGGUAGCGGGAGAAGAAGCCCCGGCUAACUCCGUGCCAGCAGCCGCGGUAAUACGGAGGGGGCUAGCGUUGUUCGGAAUUACUGGGCGUAAAGGGCGUGUAGGCGGCUUCGCCAGUCAGGCGUGAAAGCCCCGGGCUUAACCUGGGAAUUGCGCUUGAUACUGCGAGGCUAGAGUUCGGGAGAGGAGAGUGGAAUUCCCAGUGUAGAGGUGAAAUUCGUAGAUAUUGGGAAGAACACCAGUGGCGAAGGCGGCUCUCUGGACCGAUACUGACGCUGAGGCGCGAAAGCGUGGGGAGCAAACAGGAUUAGAUACCCUGGUAGUCCACGCCGUAAACGAUGUGUGCUAGACGUUGGGGGUUAGGCCCUCGGUGUCGCAGCUAACGCAUUAAGCACUCCGCCUGGGGAGUACGGCCGCAAGGCUGAAACUCAAAUGAAUU
RNAcentral lists this ribosomal RNA (554 nucleotides) under uncultured bacterium. RNAcentral describes it as "bacterial SSU rRNA". It matches the Rfam family "Bacterial small subunit ribosomal RNA", at positions 338 to 911 of the family's 1533-position model. The record is from RNAcentral.